Non-coding RNA from Rhopilema esculentum, 4165 nucleotides. Lineage: Eukaryota; Metazoa; Cnidaria; Scyphozoa; Rhizostomeae; Rhizostomatidae. The record is from RefSeq and is a predicted model, not a curated record.
UGCCGAAGAAGAAUUUCAUAGACACGAGGAAAAAAGUUAUAAGGAUUUAUCAGGUAAUAGAAGAAUUUUAGUAGCACGUUGCAGCAAAUUCGACAGAAAAACAGUGAAACCAGGCAUAUGGCCAGAAAUUGAUGGAAACAUGAUGAAAAAUUUAGAAAACGGUGGUUAGGCAAUAGGAUAAAGUUUGCUUUGUUGAACAGUUACAAGCCAUUCACAUCGCUAAUAAAUUGUCUGGUUUGGGUUGCAUAGUGAACGAAUGAAGGCUUUGAAAAACGAUAGGUGGUCUUGACUACCGUGGAUUGAAUGAUUACAUGACGUCGAAGUUUCACCGCAUUGUUUAGUUAAGUUCCUUCGUGCAUAAACACGGCGUUUUAAAAGCACCUAUUGCUUCUUUGUGGUCACUGUUCAGACUAGAUACACUUCUAGUUCUAGUCCCUAGCGUCUAGUUCUUAAAACCGUAUAUAUCAAUUGAAUGUGGUAUUAGAUGACGAGAGCUGCAGAUGAGAGCAUGACUUUUAUUGUUGGUCCAAGAACAGUAAAGCUAGAAAGCUGCUUGUAUUCGGUGGCAUUUAAAGGUAUUUCAAAGAAAUAUUCAUGCUAAAAAUGUGAUUGGUGGUGCUAACAGACAAAAGCAAAGGAUGGAUUGAGUUUCAAAUGUUUGAACAAAGCCGCAAUUCAUUUAUAACGGCAACAGGAAGAAUCUGAUUUGGGACGAUAAGCUUCGCGAUGACGGCGACUUUAGCCUUAUGGCACUGCAAAGGAAGCGUAGACGAAUGACGUUGAUUGGCCGUAGUGACACUGUCAGUGGUCAUUUAAAUCGAUCAUCACAUCACUAUACGCUAGUAGCAAGGUAGUUCACAAGCCGAUUGUAUGACAACAAAACAUCUACAGAUACGCAACAAAGACGCUCGUUUAGAUUAUUGCAAAGCUUCAAAGGAGCAGCCACAGCUUAUUUUCAAGCAGAAGCUAGGAACACGGAUCAUUCAAGUUGGCAACUUUUUCUAGCAGCAAGAGGCAGCCUGAACGGACUUUGGCUCAAAAUCAGUUGAAGUAAAGCAAGGCAACAUCCAGUUUGGAAACAACACUGGAAGAUGUUUGCUUGACCUCGGUGCCACAACGCAAUCUAGUGCCCAGUUUAUUUGAUUUAGAGCCAGAAUGGAGUGAGACCCUAUGUGUCAUUUGAGAAUCCACGUGCUGUGAAAAACACAAGAAAGUAAAAUACCACAUCGAUUGAGUAGAUUCUGUAUGUGUAAAGAGGUCACAUACUCCCAUUAAGCCGGAGUUGUUAGUGGCUUGCAGGGCAACGAAUCGAAAUUGAGGUAGAAACUAGUGCUUGCCAAUGAAGAGGGCUUUUUGAUGUGCAUCAGUACAGCGGAGGGAGACAAACUGUUUUCGUGAUGCCCAAAGAAAGAGCAUCUCUCUACGCAGGUCUCGUUUGAAUUCUAUUUUGAUAAAGUCGUGGCUACUGCAGUAUUUUGGAUUGAAAAGUGUAUUCGCAAAAACAGCUGUAUCAUAACUUGAUGUAUCCUCAUCAAAGCUGCCUAACAAAAGUUAAUUUAACUUCACAUGGUUAACAACCAUAUUCUUAGUAAAUCUCAGAUCAGCUUUUCCACUGAAAAUGGAUCAUCUGCAAGAGGGAAGCAGUAAACAAGAUAGGACGUCAUGUUUGAAAGACCAGGUUUCAAAAAUUUACAUGAACACGAUAGCUGCAAAUGAGCGAGAAGACAGGCUGCUUAGCAAAAGACUCGAUGCAAUAGAUAUGGAACACAGGGCACAAUAUUUGAGGAUGAGGAAAAUAAUUAGGGAUGCAAAGGCCUUCAGUAGAAGAAGGUUUCCCGCACUGCUGUCUGGGAGACCGACGCUGGAGAGCAAGACAUUGGAUACAUCUAAUCGCGGACACACUGCACCAGCAAAAGGUUUAUCUUUGAGUGCCAAUGGGCAACGCACGGGUUCAAUUUCAGAAGAUCAAAUGGACAAAGAAACACAUGUUUCGAAAAUUGACAGUAAAACAGCAAGUUGCCAGUUGAUUGACGCUAAGCCAGUAGGACAAGGUAAUGAGCAAAGGCAUGGAAAGGAGCUUGUAGAUCGUCUGAAGUACACAGAGCAAGAAGUUCUUCGCAUUCGUAAAUCUUUCGCUGGCCAGAACACCCCACCCGUACGAAAAAGGACAUUUUUACCUCACCUUGAGAUGCGCCCUGAAAUCCCAGUCUUAUCAGUUGAUAUCAGGACCAAUCCUAUGACACAGACGGUUCCACAUGGUGCAAAUUCUAAUUCACCUGCAAAUAUAAAAGAAAGAAAGGAUGCAGCGUUACCUGAGAUUUCGAAAAAGUCGACACCCACUAACAUUCAACGCAGGAAAACACUAGCCGGAACGAAUGCAUCACUUUUACGAUCAAUGAAAAGGGAGUCAACGGCUUUAAGCAGGUCCCUUCCGUCGAGUUUUUGAAAACAUUUAAGUCUCAUAAUGUUCAUUUCACACAUUUUGUGAUAAUGCUAAAAGUACGUUUAAGGUGAUAUGGAAGCAGUCUGCAAUGACUAGUUCUCGAUAUCUUGGAUUAAGCCCCAAUCCUAACAGAAAAAUAAAUCCUAAAAGGUUAAGCCAUUUUUUAAGAUGGUCCUAUUCAUGAAAUAGAACCCCUUGGUAAUUUUUCUGUUGGUAUAGUAACAUAAUAUUGCGCACUGUACACUUCGUGUUUGCAUAUUUGGACAACUAAGACAUAUUCAUAAGCGUACGAGGGUGGGGGAGGGGGAGAUUGGCUGGUUGUAUUCAGCUUCCUAGGGUAUAAAAAGUCAUCUAAAGAUUCAGUCAUCAGUUCGCUGAUAGUCAGGCGUAUGUUUUACAAGUGCUUUAAAGAUCUUGAAAAAAGCUCUAUUGUUUUGCAAAAAAGUGGCGCUGGUCCCUCGCCCCUCCCCCCUCGUCGGAGACCCAGCAUAACUCUCCAACGCUUUAAGUAUUUUGCAAGUCAAGCUGCUUAGUUUCUUAGGGAGCACUUUGAAUAGAACUAUUUUUGUCCCUAAGGGAACACUGAAAGUAUCCGAAAUGUUGCCUACAGAUAUGAACUUUAUUAAUUUAUUAAUUUAUUAAUACUUUAAUAAUCUGAGCAGUUAUAGUGAGGAAAGGAUACAAUGGAUUCUGAGAGAAAAUUAAAAUGCGUCAAUAGCCCAAUUCGUUUUUUCUAAUUCAGGAUAAUGGUAUCUGUGGCUUAUUCACAGUACUCAAGCAAUCUGUUGUCCACAUUUGCCCUAAUUUUAUCGUUUUGACAGUACAGUACCUACUGACUCCCUCUUUUAAAAUCAGGGUAGGGUACUUUUGAUCCAAUAGAACAGAACAAAUUUUUUUCAAGGUUCAAGGCUUACUACUGAUCCAAUAAGCAUGCAUUAAUACACCCUGCAUUGAAUACGAUUCAAGGAUCAAUUCCUUUAACGAUUUCACGGGGGCAGCGCCUUUUUUUAUAGAUCAAAGUCCACUGAGUAGAAAGGAUUUGGUUAACACUGAAUAUUGAUAUAUCCUACUGCAUGGUGAAGAACAUGGCUCCCUAAGAUAUAUUAGCACAGCUCCUGCUCUAAUUUUUUAAAUCAUUUGGUGUAUGUUUUGCCAGCAGUUCUUCAAGGAUUCAUUUUUUAUAAUUAGGUCCAAAAAUCCAUUUCUGUGAUUUUGCUAUUGAAUAGAAAAUGAUAUAGAUAAGUAUAGGAAAUAAUUUUGCAAUCCUGUCAUUAUUUAUUUUAAAGCAAUAAUAUAUAUUUGUUUAUAGAUAAUUCUGGCAUUUAAGUUGCCUCAAUCUGGAUUGUAAAUAUAUCGCGUGAAUGAUAAUUGUCUUUAUACCAGGUACUUGUUUAAUGUUGUUUAAUAUGUCACCAUUGAAUUCAUACAUAAAUUCUUUGGCGAAGCUUAAAAAUCCGGUGAGGACAAUCCGAUUACCCUCGUGUCAUACACGUCGAAGAGUUUUAUGACUGCACCAUUGAAUUACAGGUCAUACUUAGGUAACUCGGUACCUUUUCCUGAGCUCUGAGAAAUAAUUACAAUUGAAUGAUGUCUUUAUUAAAAAUUCUCUCCAAGAAAAUUUUCGUUUCAUUCAAAAUUAGGUUAUAAUCAGAAGGAUCACUUCAGAACAUAAAACCAGUCUUUCUCGUCAAGAAACUUAAUCACAAACACCAAAUAAUGCCA